RNAcentral lists this ribosomal RNA (474 nucleotides) under uncultured bacterium. Its description in RNAcentral is "bacterial SSU rRNA". It matches the Rfam family "Bacterial small subunit ribosomal RNA", at positions 335 to 801 of the family's 1533-position model. The record is from RNAcentral.
ACUCCUACGGGAGGCAGCAGUAGGGAAUCUUCCACAAUGGGCGCAAGCCUGAUGGAGCAACACCGCGUGAGUGAAGAAGGGUUUCGGCUCGUAAAGCUCUGUUGUUAAAGAAGAACACGUAUGAGGGUAACUGUUCAUACGUUGACGGUAUUUAACCAGAAAGUCACGGCUAACUACGUGCCAGCAGCCGCGGUAAUACGUAGGUGGCAAGCGUUAUCCGGAUUUAUUGGGGCGUAAAGAGAGUGCAGGCGGUUUUCUAAGUCUGAUGUGAAAGCCUUCGGCUUAACCGGAGAAGUGCAUCGGAAACUGGAUAACUUGAGUGCAGAAGAGGGUAGUGGAACUCCAUGUGUAGCGGUGGAAUGCGUAGAUAUAUGGAAGAACACCAGUGGCGAAGGCGGCUACCUGGUCUGCAACUGACGCUGAGACUCGAAAGCAUGGGUAGCGAACAGGAUUAGAUACCCUGGUAGGAUAGCG